This 1243-nucleotide ribosomal RNA is filed under the name metagenome. Its description in RNAcentral is "bacterial LSU rRNA". It matches the Rfam family "Bacterial large subunit ribosomal RNA", at positions 1564 to 2816 of the family's 2925-position model. The record is from RNAcentral.
UGAAUACGAGAUGCUACGGCGUCGAAGCAGUCUAUGUCAUACUUCCAAGAAAAGCUUGCACUGUCAUAAACAAAUAAUGCCUGUACCAUAACCGACACAGGUGGGUAGGUAGAGUAUACUAAGGGGCGCGAGAUAACUCUCUCUAAGGAACUCGGCAAAAUGACUCCGUAACUUCGGGAGAAGGAGUGCCUUAUUUAUAAGGUUGCAAUAACAAGAUCCAAGCAACUGUUUACCAAAAACACAGGUCUCCGCUAAGUCGUAAGACGAUGUAUGGGGGCUGACGCCUGCCCAGUGCCAGAAGGUUAAAGAAGUUGGUUAGCAUCCGCGAAGCUGAUAACUGAAGCCCUGGUGAACGGCGGCCGUAACAAUAACGGUCCUAAGGUAGCGAAAUUCCUUGUCGGGUAAGUUCCGACCCGCACGAAAGGCGUAAUGAUUUGGAUACUGUCUCGGAGAGGGGCUCGGUGAAAUAGACUUGUCUGUGAAGAUGCGGACUACCUGCACCAGGACAGAAAGACCCUAUGAAGCUUUACUGUAACCUGAAAUUGAAAUUGGACUUUACUUGCGCAGUAUAGGUGGGAGGCGUUGAGAAUAUUCUUGCGGGAUUAUUGGAGCCAUCAGUGAGAUACCACUCUUGUAAUGUUAGAUUUCUAACCUUGUAUCAUUAUCUGGUCAAAGAACAGUUUCAGGCGGGCAGUUUGACUGGGGCGGUCGCCUCCUAAACGGUAACGGAGGCGCACAAAGGUUUCCUCUGAACGGGUAGAAAUCGUAUCUAGAGUGUAAAGGCAUAAGGAAGCUUGACUGUGAGACCUACAAGUCGAGCAGGGACGAAAGUCGGUCUUAGUGAUCUGACGGUGCUGAGUGGAAAGGCCGUCACUCAACGGAUAAAAGUUACUCUAAGGAUAACAGGCUGAUCUCCCCCAAGAGUUCACAUCGACGGGGAGGUUUGGCACCUCGAUGUCGGCUCAUCGCAUCCUGGGGCGGUAGUACGUCCCAAGGGUUGGGCUGUUCGCCCAUGAAAGCGGUACGCGAGCUGGGUUCAGAACGUCGUGAGACAGUUCGGUCCAUAUCCGGUGUAGGCGUUAGAAUAUUGAGAGGAGCCUUCUUUAGUACGAGAGGACCGAGAAGGACAUACCUCUGGUGUACCAGUUAUCGUGCCAACGGUAAACGCUGGGUAGCUAUGUGUGGAGUGGAUAACCGCUGAAAGCAUCUAAGUGGGAAGCCCACCUCAAGAUAAGUAUUCUCA